This is a long non-coding RNA of Acinonyx jubatus (cheetah), 8486 nucleotides long. RefSeq lists it as uncharacterized. NCBI's taxonomy places the organism in Eukaryota, Metazoa, Chordata, Mammalia, Carnivora, Felidae. The transcript has 3 exons. The record is from RefSeq and is a predicted model, not a curated record.
AAGGAGACACAGAAUCCAAAGCAGGCUCCCGGAUCUGAGCUGUCAGCACAGAGUCUGAUGUGGUGCUCGAACUUGGGAACCGCGAAGUCAUGACCUGAGCCCAACUCAUGAACUACGAGAUCAUGACCUGAACUGGAGUCAGACACUUAACCAACUAAGCCAUCCAGGUGCCCCUAGAAUGUAAAUUCUUAAACUACACCCCUGGAGACACUGAUUAGUAAGCCAAGGGUGGGGCCCAAGAAUCUGCGUUUUUAACAAACACUCAGGUGAUUUGGAGGCUGGACUGUGAGAAAUCCUGCUUUGGAACUUGUUCUGAGGAAGGUGUCAUCAUGGAAGUGGUCAGAGUCUCCUUCAGAGAAAGGGUUACUGGGGUCUGUAUUUAGCCUGCUCCUGAAAUAUUUUGGAUAAAACUAGGUAGAACCAAUUUGUAGGAUGUUCUUUCAGAUCAAAAUCCUAUUGGGUUAUUACUGUAUAGCAGUGGGUGUCUCUGGGGACAAUUUUGUCCCCAGGAGCUAUUUGGCAAUAUCUGGAGACAUUUUUGGUUGUCAUACGGUGGGUGGGGGUGGGGGAGAUGCUACUGCUAUCCCAUGAGUAGAGGUCAGGGAUGCUGGUAGACAUCCUACAGGACAGCCCCACAUGACAAAUAAUUCUCCAACUUAAAAUGUCCACAGUGGUGAGCCUGAGGAAUCCUACCUUCCAGGAUAAAAGGGAAAGCAUGAAUAGUAUUGGGAAAGCCAGCAGAAGUGUCAAAUUUUGGCACCAACAAGGACUUUGAGCAGACUUGGUCCAAUCCUCACAGUAUAGGAGCCCCAAAUGCUUGUUGAACUGUUCUGUGCCUUCAGUUUACAAGAACAGGUGGAGGUUGUUAAACCUAGAGGCUAUUAGAUCUUCUGUGAGCCCCUUGGUUGCUAAGCCCAGAUGGUAAUUAGAUUGUGUGUCAAUCAGAGAAAAUGCAAUUCUAUGAUCAAACCAGAUGCAUAGGUUGUACAGAGACUCAACAUACUGUUAGAUGCAUUAGGUACUAACAAAAUCAUCUCAACUCUUGAUUUAGGAGAAGGUUUGGGGCAAAUGUGGAGGAUCCAAAUUCACAACAGCAUUUGUGGCGCCAGAUGGGCAUAUGAGCUUGAUGCCUAACACUCUGGUCUAAGGGACCCACCAGCCUCUUUCCAGAGAUUGGAUAAUGGCUUCUUAAGUGAGCUGGACACAUUUUCGCAGCCCACACUGAUGACAUUUCUAUAUUAAGCCAGAGUGUGGAUGAGCAUCUGGAAAGUUUCAGACUGGUGCCAAAUUGAUCUGUAAAGCUGGGUUUGUGGGGAAACUGAGCAAAGGGCCAUUUGGACAUCUGAGAUCAAACAUUAGGGAAAUAGGCACAUGAGCCCACUGGAAGGAAACGAGGAAGCUCAUUGAUAUUGUCAAGCGUCUGCCACUAAAGAAUCAAAUCGCCUCUGACCAAGAGACAUUUGGGAGCUAUUUGUUUUAGGAGGUUGUUCUAGAAUAUCUGAGGGCUAACACGAAUUGGCAGGCAGAUGAAUAGUGCAAAAGAAAAACAUGCUAGGAACUCUUACUGCAAAUUAACUAGGAAGAGUUUUUGUGUAAUGAAGAUACAAAGCACUACGAGAAGUUAGUUUCUUUUGCUAUUAAUCAAGUUCCAGGGAGUUUUAGAUAAAUUUCCCCAGACCUUGAGGGUUACUUUCUCCUUUGUCUCUAAAACAACUCAGCGAAUCUUGUUUUUUCUACUUUAGCUGAGGGGGUAAGUGCCAUUCAUAAUUAGGUGGAAGGAGCCCAAGAUAUUGCAAUGGGUUUGAGUGUAUGAGUCAUUUACUGACCAAAAUUAUAGUCUAACAAAAAGCCAGCCAUACUUGGACCAUUGACCUGGAAUGAGAAAUGCAGAACUUCUUGAUAAAACCAAGAACUUAGGGGGUCCUAGGAAUCGCUCAGUAAUACAUAACUUAGUGGAGGGAUUGGGAAGGUGACCCUUGCUGAAAUAUCUAAGUUCCCCCCAACCCCCAUAAUUCACAGAGUGGGAAAAGGUUGCAAGAUUUGGAAAUGAGGUGUGGUUGCCAACAUUCUAGGCAUUUCAUCAAAUGUUUAAAAAUAGGUUAAAAGUGAAUACAAACUAGAGGCAAAACAGCCAGGCAGUCAGGUCCUCUGAAGGUCAGCAGGCACUUUGAAGCAUUUAUCCCUCAACCAUGAGGCUGUAACUGGCCAUAUUUUAACUUGUUUCAAAGAAGUAUCUAACAGAGUUUUCAGGACCCCAGAGAUUUAAGAUGCUAUGGAGGAAUGAAAACAAAUUCUUUAAUGGCUUUGAAAGACACCAAUGUGAAAACGCGGCAGCGUCUGCAGUGGAUGGACCUAUUAGGAGACUAAGGGUCUUGCAAUUUUACAGUUUCCAUGGGACAUGUUUAUUGAGUACUGCUCUGUGCCACGCUCAGUGCUGCAUGCUGGGGAUACCCAGGACAAUCAGAAGAGGAAGCUCACACAUUAUGGUGAGAGAGUAGCAGAUACGGAUAACUGUUAGAAGACAAAGGAGUGAGGGGCUGGCUCUCUUGGGGGCAGGUGGAGAAUCAGCACAGUGUUCUCACAGGUGAAAUUUAAUCUGAGUUUUGAAGUAGGGGUAUUGGAUUAAGAUGAAGGGAGAGGCAUGUGCCAGAUGGUGGGGCAAGUUCCUGAAGCCUUAGCAAGGCCGGGAAGGGGAAGUGGGAUUUCUCAGGAACUAUGAAAAGUGAUUGAGCCCAGCAGAGAGGAGGUGAGGCGUGUACCUUUGGGAGUCCCCUACAGCCUGGGGAGAACUGAAGGCCUGGGGUCCAGGGAUGGCAUCUCAGAAGGAGAGAGUAUGGGGAGGAAAGAAUUCCUGAAUCUUGAUCACUUAGGUUUAGAGGGUGGGGAGGGGAACAGGAACCCACCAGGAGGUAAUAAAAAAUGAAUCGGAAUGGGGAAGAGAACCAGGCGAGUUCACCGAGUUGACUGGGAGAGGACAGGGAGGAGGAAACCUGCAAAUUGGCUCCAGACAUCUGAGAGAGCAGAUAAGAAGUGAUGCAGCCCAAAGGGGUGAGGGCUGCAAGUGUAGAUUACUCUCUGGGUGUACAGAUAUCUGUUCAAGUCCUAAUGCUUUCUUUGAUGGGGGAAAACAAAGCAUUGCCAUGAAAGCUUUGUGCAUAACUUUCAGUCUUGUCUAGGCUGCAGAUGGAGAAUUUAGCAGUGUGGAGAUGAUCAGAUUAUUGCUUAAUCAACUCAUCAUUGGUUUACAUGUAAACCAAGUUGGCCGCUCUCCUUACUAAGACUAGGGCAAAGUGCUUUUUUAGAUGAGCUUUUAAGCCUCUCUGGGCUGCACGGAAAAAGCCUGUGGGCCUUCUGUGUUCCAGCCAAACUCAGCUUUUCUCAGUUCCAUAAAUGCCACUUCCCUCUGGCACAGGCAUUUGAACGUGUACUCCCCACUCUCUCUAUCACCUGGGACCCUCGCUCUGCCUCUUCGCUCCCAUUCUUUAGGUUUCCUUAGAGACUUCAGUUCCUUCAAGAGUCCUGUCUGUCCUUCUAGUCUGGGUUGGGGUCCACUGUCUGUGCUUCCCCAGCAUCCAGUAGUUAAGCCCUCUUGAAGGGAUUGUGGGAUCUUCUCUCCCACUGGUUGCAGACUCCAUCCAUCUGCUUCCUGGACCCUUUGGCCUGGCCCUGUGCUCAGCAUACAGAAAACCAAAAUGGAUGAAUGAGGACGGGCCAACUUUGGAUGGGUCAUCUGGGGAUGCUCUUCAUGAUGCUGUAGAAACCCACUGAGCAGGAGAGGGAAGAGCUUGCUGUUUGGGUCUGUAGGGCCUGUGUCUGCUCAUCAUUAGUGAGCUAGCCCAAUGUAAAUAUGUGUUCUAUAUUUGUACACUCGCCUUAAGGAGCAGUAGUUACUUUUGGUUGUUUUUAACGGUUGAGGAGUUUGAAUUAUGACAUCUUUUGAAAGAAGUUUGACUACAAAGAAAAAAUGACUGAGUUAUAUUGGAUUUAAUAGAGGAAUAACUCUUUAGGCUGACAUGAAAGCAGUUGAGAAAGCAGUUUAUUUAAGGAAAAGAAAUUUAAUGCCAGAUUAGAAACUCAAAUUAAAAAUUUAAAAUAUAGGGGCUCCUGGGUGGCUCAGCCGGUUAAGUGUUCAACUUCGGCUCUGGUCAUGAUCUCAUGGCCUGUGAGUUUGAACCCCGCAUCGGGCUCUGUGCUGACAACUCAAUGCCUGGAGCCUGCUUCCGAUUCCAUGUCUCCCUCUCUCUCUGCCUCUCCCCUGCUUGUACUGUCUCUCUCUCUCUCUCUCUCUCUCUCUCUCACACACAAAUAAAUAAAACAUUAAAAAAAAACCUAGAAAAACCAAAAACCAAAACAAAAUUUAAAAUAUAAACAAAAUUUAAAAUAUAAGACAGCAUUUGGGUAUUCACUGUAGAAUUAUCUAUAAUAUCAAAAAUGGAGGGCAACGUACAUGUUCAACAGGAGGGGAGUAGUUAAACAAAUUAUACUGUAUUCCUAGAAAGAAAGAACUUAAAAUCAUGUUUAAUAACAUGAGGAAAUUAUCCUGGUAUAAUGUAGCAAGUGAAAAACUAGGACUCUUUCUCUGACAGGUGGGAUUAAAGUAACGUUCUUCUGUUACACUUCUCUGAAUUUGCCAAAUUCUCUAAAAUGAGUAUGCAUUAUUUAAUAAUGGGAACAAAAUGGCAGCACAGGCAGGUCUUUAUUUGAAGUGGAAAAGGGGAAAGAUGACAGAGUUUGCAUUUAGAAGAUGCUAAAGUCAGCAUCUGUUUCCUAUCGACCACGUGGCACCAGGUGAGUCACAUGCCCCCUGGGCAAGGCCUUAAUUUCUCCUUCCGGGUUGGAGGAAGGAGGGAGAAGAAGACGGAGGGCAUUCCAUGGCCUACCUCAAGGUUGAAGCUGUCAAGAGCUGGGCGGAGCUUCUCUCUGCAGGUCAGACAGUCCUUCUGGCAGCUGCUGGACACGCUGGAGAAGAGGCUGAGCAGCAGGAGGUCACAAAGCAGGAUUUUCAUGGUGCAGGAGCAGGAAGCAGGGGGCUAAAAUACUAAAAGAAGUGAGGGUGCGCUGCAAUUAGAACAGCCUUUCUGGGGGGGUCUCACGCAGGGGAUGCCACCAGAGGGGACGGUGCCAGGCCCAAGAUUCGCCUCCCAGGAGGGAGCGGGUUGUCAAGGAUACAAGAGGCUUGCUCCUGCCAGCUAGGCCUACCGUUCAUGCAGGGGUGAGUGUCUGGGAUCCUAGGCGGAGCACCCCUGUGAUUCCUGCCACCUAGCUGGCCUCGACGUGCACAAGCACUUCCAGGGGGCUACAGACCUCACUUUGCAACUUACUAACUUGUGGCUGUAAGACAACCUCUCCAAGCUUCAGUUUUCAUGUCUGUAAGAGGGGGAUAGUGCUACCUGUCUCGUCAUAGGGCCAUUGCACAGAGAUGAGAUCCGUAAGGAGGUUUGGCAAAGUGCCGUGCAUGAGUGAGACGUGUGCAGUAAGGUUCAUGGAUGACUCGUGUCCUUUGUCUCCUCCUCUCCAGCCUUCCCUGCCUCAGCCAGGAAAGCCCCACAUCCCAGAAUUUGCUCUUCCAGGAAGCUCCCAGAUUCCUUGUCUGUUUCCCCUACGAGAGGUGAGCUUGCUUCCUGAGCACAGGGCCAGUAUGUCCACCCUGCGAGGCCAUCCAAAACACAGGACCAGCUGAGAAAACUGAGACUGGAAGAAGAGAAGUAACUUGGAGCAGCAGAGGUGAGCCUCAAGCCCCUCUGAUUUCCAAGCUCAUGCUCUCACUCGGCUACUCGUUGAUCUCUGCAGCUGUCUGUCUCCAUGUAAGUGAAUUCAUUCUAAGAACCUGAACCCUAGGCUUCCCCUCUCUGAUUGUGACAUCCUUAUUGUUGCCUCCCCUUCGUAGAAGAAUUUUUCAUUGCCUACAGGCACAGGGUUUAUCUUCUACACCCCCCAUUUCUUUGACCCAUUGCAGACAGGACUCCUACACUGAGAUUUUGCUUGUUUACCAGCUAUUACUGAGGAAGGCGUCUGUAAUGUCUUUUCCUCCUCUGACUAAUGCACUUACAUCCCAAAAGGUCCUUCUUCUGCUCUAAGCUUCCACCUGGAAGGAGGCAGUGAGCAUAGAGGAGGUGGAGAGCAAAGCAAGUCCCCCGUCCUACAGAGACCAAGUGUGCCUGGUGCUGGUGAACAAUGAAUGAGAGCCCUGUGCCUUGAAGCAAGAGGCCUGGGCUCCAACUUCUACUUUGUAGUUACCUGUGGGAUCUUGAGCAAGACCUUUUCUUUCUGUGGGCCUCAGUUUCCCCUUCUCUAGAAAGAGGCAAUUGGGUUAGAAGGUUAAUGUUUUUUAUUUUAUAAAUACCCAGAUAUUUGUGCUCUCCUGGUAAGAGGAAGCAAGAAGGAAGGAGGGAACAGGGAGGAAAGAUGAGGGUUUCACGAGGCAGUGGCUUCGGGGCAGCACAGGACAGAGGUGGACACAGCUGGGGCUCAGGAGAGGACCUGGGGCAGGGCAACAGACACAUUUCCUGUCAAAGCUGCCACAAAGUUAGAAAGGUAACACUUUUUAUUUUUUUUUUAAAGCAGUCUCCACACCCUGCUUGAAGCCCAAUGCAGGGCUCGAACUCACAACCCUGAGAUCAAGAUCUGAGCAGACAUCAAGAGUUGUCCAGCUCAAUCGACUGAGCUACCCAGAUGCCCUUGGAAAGGAUAAAAACCUCAGCCCUCCCCUCCUACCCCCCAUCUGAGCACUGAAACUAAGACGAACGAAGAAAUAAUUCCCCAGGAGGCCAGCGGCAUCCACCCUGGACAAAGAGAGGGUGAGGAGAGAGUCCCGGGCUCCCAGCUGUUUGUCUUGGGGCUGGGGUUCGCAUGCAGUUGCCUACCUGAGAGCUGUCAGUAGCCUGGCUCCUUCGGAUGUGAGGCUCGGUUCCGCCGUAUCAGGCACACCAACCAGCAUAUAUAUAUCCUCCCCCCACCCGCUCAGCCCUCCCCUUCCCUGCCCACCUCGAUGACACAUACACACGCUGACCCCCUUAAUCAAGCGAAUAGCAGAACCUACAAUCCUCCCUGGCUGCUCCCCGCCCCCUUGGCUCUGUGCUCAGACCUGUGACACCCCAGCCUCCCCCCACCAUCCAUCCAUUCUCAAGCCUGCUUUACCUGGACUCUGUUCAGCCAGGAUCCCACAGCUGCCUUCCCUUUGCUUCCAGAGGCACGGCGAGGGCUGAUGGGGAGCUCUGGCAAGUCAGUCAGAAAAAAAGACUCCUGGUGACAGUGACGAGGCAGACCCCAAUCCUGGAGUCUCCUUGAACAACCCUUUUGCACAAGGAGUAAAGAGUAGGAAGCGGGCAGAAGGAGGGGGAAUCUCACACGAAGCUCCCACCGGCACAGGGAAGCCCAGAGCUGGGCUAAGCCAAGCCCCCUUUACUGCAAAUGCCCCACGGGCGGCAACUAUGAGGCCACUCCAGGGAGUGGUUCUACCUGCGAUGGGUCAAGUCAGGAGGCAUUUUGCAGGUGCCCGCAGCCUGGCACAAUGUAAAAUGCCAAGCCUUUCAACUCAGAGUGAAGUGUCUGAGAUUCUGGCUUCUGUCAGAGCAAGUUACUUCUCUUUGAGAACCUCAGGUCCUUCUUCUGUAAAAUGGGUAUGCUACUGCCCAGGGUGAUUGUGAGUAGAAAAACGAGAUUCUGUUUCUAUUUGGAACAUAGGAGACCUUUAAUAAAUGAGUGCUGCACCCCCUUCGUCCUCUUCACGUUAAAUAAGACCAACUGAAUCUAACAAUUCCCUGUCAACAGCUAGUGUCACAACAGAGUACUUUCAGAGCUGCUGCUGUACCUUAGGGCGUUGCCCCCGAGUGCCUUGGAGUCUCAGAAGCUGUUGGAGAUGCCCCCGCCACUCAGUGUGGAGCCUCCUUCCCUUCCCACGGGGAAGGCAGAUCGUGGUCAGCCCAGGCAGGCCAUGUUGAAAUCUGCAGCAUUCUUGGGGAUCCCUCCUUUCUUUGGCCCUAGGCGAAUUGCACCAUGACUUCCUCCUUGGCUGUCCUGAGAAGAUGCAAAAAUAUUCCAGAAUCCCAAGACAUGAGGCUAUGUCAUUCAAGAAGUUCAAGCACCCUCUCAUGUGGCAAAUCUGGCUCUCUCAUGGACCUAAGAACGGUGGGGAAGGAUGAAAGAAAGCAUCUGCUUUGGCUGCUAAUGGCAUGGUUUUUUUUUAGGGGGUGGGUGAUUGAAACGUUCUGGAAUUAGAUAGUGCUGAUGGUUGCACAACAUUGUGGAUAUACUGAAAACCACGGAAUUAUGUCCUUUAAAACAGUGAAUUUCAUGUUAUGUAAAUUACAUCUCAAUAAAAAAAAUAGAAAGCAAGCAAGGAAGCACCUGCGCCAAGUUAAGAUCAACAAGUUCUAAGAAGACAACUUCCCUUCCAUCUGUAUUCAUAGCAAAAGGGUCCAGGAGACCAACAUACCCUGAUUUUAGAUCUCUAGUGCCUGAAACUUACACUUUGUUGUUAUUACAGG